CCUACGGGAGGCAGCAGUGAGGAAUAUUGGUCAAUGGGCGCAAGCCUGAACCAGCGACGCCGCGUGCGGGAUGAAGGGGCUUUGCCUCGUAAACCGCUGUCGGGUGGGACGAAAGGUAGCUUUGAGCUACUGGGACGGUACCAUCAAAGGAAGGAUCGGCUAACUACGUGCCAGCAGCCGCGGUAAUACGUAGGAUCCGAGCGUUGUCCGGAGUUACUGGGUGUAAAGGGUGCGUAGGCUGUUCUGUGCGUCAGAGGUGAAAUCCACGAGCUUAACUCGUGGGGUGCCUUUGAUACGGCAGGGCUUGAGUACGAGAGAGGUGCGUGGAAUUCCUGGUGUAGCAGUGAAAUGCGUAGAUAUCAGGAGGAACACCGGUGGCGAAGGCGGCGCACUGGCUCGUAACUGACGCUGAGGCACGAAAGCGUGGGGAUCAAACAGGAUUAGAUACCCUGGUAGUCCACGCCUUAAACGAUGCAUGCUUGGUGUUGGUCUCGCAAGAGAUCAGUGCCGUAGUUAACAUGAUAAGCAUGCCCGACCGUGGGGUUAGGUUACGUAGUUCGCGAAGGUUAGGUUAAAACGUUAAAAGUUAGUUAAGUUAGGUUACGGCGUUGAGGACGUUGCCGAACGGGACGACCGACGAGGGGAAGGUUAAGGAG
RNAcentral lists this ribosomal RNA (656 nucleotides) under uncultured bacterium. RNAcentral's name for it is "bacterial SSU rRNA". The stretch from base 1 to 537 matches the Rfam family "Bacterial small subunit ribosomal RNA", at positions 338 to 873 of the family's 1533-position model. The record is from RNAcentral.